Long non-coding RNA from Bos taurus (domestic cattle), 3834 nucleotides. NCBI's taxonomy places the organism in Eukaryota, Metazoa, Chordata, Mammalia, Artiodactyla, Bovidae. The record is from Ensembl.
GAGCAAGGAAUGCAGGUGGGUAGCCAGGCCUCUGCCCCAAAGCCCAGAAGAUGCUCUCCAUGUGGCGGAUCUCUGGGGAAGAUGCUGGCCAGGCCGUAUCCCAGUGUCACUGAAUCUGGUUCCCUCCCACAUUUCCUCUUCAGUCGGGGCACUUGGUCUCCCUGCGGGCCCUCUGCCCAGAACCCAGACAGCCCCUAGCUGCGUGGCCUCACCCCAGCCCUCUGUCUGGGUCUGAAAUCCCCACCCUUAUUUAUUCAUAUCACAGUAACUUGUCUAUCACGUUCAAUGAAUAUAUUUGUUGGCCAGUCAUCAGAUGUCCAAGGGGCACUGCCCAGCUGCCAGGCACAGUGCUCUGCCGAUGGAUGCAGAGAUGGUGAGGCCUGGCCCUGUCUCAAGGGUGCACAGUCUUAGUAAAUACACCAGCACGGCUCUCAGACACCCACAUACCUAUGCAGGGCUCCACAGGCACUCAGAACAGGGAGUGGCUGCUGGGGUGAGCGGUAUUGGGCAGAGCCUCAGAGAGGAGCUGCAGCUUGAGCAGGACUGUCCUUGGGCUUUGCUGACCUACAUUUGUCAUUUAAUCCUCACCACAGCCCUGUGAUGCUGGCAGCACAGGUAUCAUCAUACCCAUUUUAUGGAUGACAAAACCAAGGUUCAAAGAGGUGAGGGGACUUGCCCAAGGCCUGUGUGAUUAAGAGUGGCAGGGGCUCAUCUCAAGUCCCAGUUUUCCAGUCUCCAUGCAGCCGUCUCCUGUGCCCCACCUCAAGUUCUCCACAUAAACACUACUUGGGUGCUUGGUAUGGACCGGCUGCUGUCCACAAGCUGGCAACUUAGAAGUGGCAAGGUUCACAGAAAACCAGACAGAACAAAAUGGGCAAAGAGGACCGUCCUCACAGAGGCCUCUCUUCGGCAGGAAGGCAGACGGUCAGAUACGCCAAGCCCACAGUUGCUAUCCCUGGCUGGGUGAUGAUCAAGAGACCAGGCAGUAACCAGGCGAUGUAGGUAAGGGUCCCAGGAGAGAUGCGCCUGGUGAGCUCGCAGAGGCAGCCCCUAACCCAUCUAGACUGGAGUUGGGGGCAGGGACAAGUUGCCCAAGAGAUCCAGCCCCUGCUGGGUCAAAGCCUGUGAGCGGGAGAUGGCUGGGUGAAGGAGGCAGAGGUCAAAUAGAGGGAAGCACAGAGGAGGAGCUGGAGGGGACAGUUGAGACCCUGGGCAGAGGGCCUUACACACGGGCCACAGAGUCUGGACUUUGUCCCCGCAGGCAGUGGGGAGCCAUGGAAAGCUUCCAGCCGGGAAACAGCCCGGCCAGAUUCCGGUGCCAUAGCUAGUGACACGUCUGUACCAAAGCAUAGGCCCUGAGGGUCUCUCAGCCCCUCCUAGGGCUGGGGGCCUUGCACGUGGUUUGUCCCUGGGUACUGCCUCUUCUUUCUGCAGCAGCAGUCCUCGGACGUGUCUGCGAAGGGGAGAGGUGCACCCCCGCCCCAGUCUCCAGAGAGAAGCCUGUGUCCACUCUAGAAAUGAAGCAAACAACAGCCACUGUUAAGGCAGGCAGCCCUAUGUGCCCAGAAGAUGCCCAUUUUCCACUCACCAGGCUGCCCAGACAGCUCAGAGGGUGAGAGGUCUUCUACAACAUAGCUCCCUGUGCCCCCCCAGCUCCCCCUACUAGAGGGUCGGUGCCUCUCUGCACAGAUGGUAACUGGAUGGCUGCAUCGUGCCGGGUGGAAACGCAUUUACAGUAUGGGACGCUGGUGCUCUGACACAAGCAGGGGUCUAGGGUAGAGAGCCCGAGGGCAGCCGGAAGGGGACCCCGGGGCGGCUGAGGGGAGGGGAGCAGCGUGAGGACUCCCCAGAGAGGAGGUGGCAGGUGGAGCUGAAGAGAAAAGCUUGGCGGCUUCCCAAUUCAGCUGGGCCACAGCUUUGUCAAUGGCCAGCUCUCUACCCGCCGGGCCCCUGGCCUGGCCCCGGGCCUGCGGUUUUCCUCAGUAGAACAGCGGGCGGCAGCUUCCGAGAAACCCCACCAAGACUUUCCUGUCAGGGCAACUCCAAGUUCCUCUUCAGGAAGGGGAAGUGGGGGAGUUUCUCCUAAGGGCUUUCAGUUUCUUUCUAAGAAGCCGGAGUGUCCCAACCCCGCAGUGCAGAGCCAGGUGUUAAGGGAAGAGACGUCCCACGGCAGGGGCUUUCCUAUCUCGGGUUCACAGGUGGACAUUCCAAAAGAGGAAAACUGGACCCGAGUUUUGCAGGCCCUUUCCCAUGCCCCUCUCCUUUCUUCCCCCUCCGGUCACACGUCCCCUGCGCCCCUCCCUGCCCCCACCAACACGUGCAGUGCAUGCACAGAAUGUGGCCUGCCCUCCCUCGGGGACCUGCCAGGUGGAAAUUUAUUUCCUCAGCCCUCCCAGCCGACGUCCUGGGAGCUCAGCUUCCUCGGGGCUCUGCUGGGCGACUCAACAUCUGACCCAGAUCAAGACCCAACAGGUGACUCCAGCUUCUUGCCGAUGCUGGGCCACGGAAGACCUCCAAACUUCUUUGAGGACACACUGUGGGAGCCCCAAGAACUGAGAGCCUGCCUUUUUUUUAAGAAGGCUUGGCUUGGUGGCAAAGCAGAAGUCCUGAUGUGAUUAUAAACAAGAGCCACCAUGGAGGCUAAGCACUUACCGUGUGCUAGCAUUUUACAUGAAUAUCCUCCUGUAACCCACCCCCCCAACCGAGGGGGCAAUCCCAUGACAAAGACACCAUUGUUACUCCUGAAGUCAAGCAACCUGCCCAUUCACCCAGCCCGCAAGCCUGUUCUUCCCAGUAGACUGCUUCUCAGAAAGGCGGGGAAGAAAGACUAUCAGGCCCUCAAAGGAGCUGGCUGGGAAGGUGUGAUCUCCAAUAUCGCCGAUCCUCAAAGCAAGCUCUGAGUGGUGAAGAGCCAGCGAUCUAGUUACCGCCGGCUUUGCAGCACGGCCACGGCUGGGGGUCUCCCCAGGACAUCCACACUCCUGUCGCCUCUUCUGUUCUCCUCUUACAGGCAUCGUGUUAGGGUUUCUGCUUUGCCAACACAUGCGUUAUGGGGACAGUGUGGGGAUUUCCCCAAACCAUGACGCUGUUCUGCUCAAAAACAUUUGCCUAGAAGUCCACAACUGUGUGACUCACGCUGUUGAGGUGUCAAGAAAACUCACAGCUGCAGGGUGGAGGGGCCGGACCCACACGGAAGGGGGCACUCGGAGGGUGAGCAGUUCGGUACAUAAAAAUACAGGACACCCAGUUACAUUUGAGUUUCAGAUCAACUACAACAUUUGGGAUACCCUGAUACUAAAAAAAAAAAAAAAAGUACUUAUCUGAAGUGAAAGUGUGUGUUAGUUGCUCAGUUGAGUCUGACUGUUUGCGACCCCAUGGAUUGUAACCCAAAUCAGGGACUGAACCAGUGUCUCUUACAUCUCCUGCAUUGGCACACGGGUUUUUUUGUUUGUUUGUUUAUUUUUUUUUUUAACACUGGCACCACCUUGGAAACCCCAAGGACCUCCUAGCCCUUGGUUUCUGGCCUCGUUGAAAAUCUGCUAGAAGCAAGAAGAGGUGGGAAGUAGCCAAAGAGCAGGUUUAGGGACAAGCAAGACAGCUCUGCUGGGAAAAGUGCUGUCCCUCCUAUGCUCCAGCACCCAAGGAGAUUGGGGCCUGGGUGCCUGGAGGGAUCCUCUGGGGUCAGCCCACCCAGCUUUUCAAACACUCAUGGCAACACCUGAGCCACAGCUGGGAUCAUUGCUAGCUCCCAAAUUAGAAAAGUAUGUUGUAAGGAUGAAAUGGCUAAAUGGUCUACAAAAUGUUAACUACGCAAUUGUAACUCAGCUCCUGCAC